UCUUCGCUUUUUCCUCUAGAUCUCCCUUCUCUCUACAAACCCUAAAGCAUCGCCACCUCCCUUCUCUCUAGGAUGUGCUAGGGUUUUAUUUUAUUCUAAGCUUCCUCUUCUCUCGUUUUCUCUCAACCCAGUAUGUGCGAGGGUGUUUGGUGGUGAAAUAAUUCAGACCUUGCUCCCUUACCAUUUCUUCGCUUCUCUUCAUAAUCAAAUGGUUUUGUGCUUAUAGGGCAAGAAUGACCAUAUUGCCCUGCAUAAUGUGUAGAAGGAUGGAAAAAAGAAGCGAAGGUUAACAUCGAUAUCUCAAAUAAUCGCUUCUCAUCAGAUUGCCCUACCAAAAAUUCAACGCCAAAAAAGGAAGUGACUCACUGUUCUCUUUUCGAUUGGUAUUUCUAAUGAUUAAUAUCGGUCAAGAUUUCUUCCAGUCGCCAUCAGCCCAUCACGGAAACCAAACUGGCUCAACCGCUGAAAGCCUGGAAUUUGCUAAAAAUCGAUUACUCAAAUGUGUGAUUGACUGAAAGUAUAAAACUCGUUGAAACUCGAAUGCCUGAUCUCCAUAUGAGAUUUCAUAUUUAUGGAAUCCAACUUCUUGAGUCCUGAAUUUGAUUUAUGUUGACCCUCCUUACAGAUCUGAGGAUUGGUUCGAAGAUGAACUUUGGGCAUUUCAAGGUGGAAAAGAUGGCGUUUUGCCAUGUGUAUGGGAGAAUGAGCUCCCUAGUUUCCCUCAGCCAGAGACUAUUAGCAAGAUGUUGGUGAACCAAAUGCUCCUUUGCUUUGGAGUCAUGUUUGUUACUCAGGAUAGUAGUGGGAUGUUAUCACUUCUUGGCAUACUUGAGCAGUCUCUUAAAAUUGGAAGGAGACAUGUUUUACAUUCAACCAGUGUCACAAAUGUAUGCGUGGGAUUACUUUAUGGAUUAAAGGCCAUGCUUACAUAUGACUCCCAACCACUAGAAACAGAGAUAUUAAUUGCAACCCAGGGGAUCUUUCAGAUUAUUUUUUUAUGGUGUAAAUGUAAUUUUACAUUUUACUUGCUUACGUUUGUGUCGAGAUGCGUGGUUAGGUCCUUGGAUUACUGGAAGGGAUGAGCAUAGGCGGGUACCCACCUUAAUUGUCUGGAACCGGAACCAGAACCGGAGCCGGCGGUUCAUGGAAUGUAGGAACUGGAACCGGAACUGGCUCCGAUACCCGGUUCAAUUUAGAGGAAGGAUUCUUUAAAGGGGAUGGGUAGUCUAAAGAAUUUUAGGCUGGUGUUCUACAUCAUCUUCCUUUUGUUCUACCUUUUACAGCUCCAAUCCGAAACAUGUAAUAAUUUCUAUUUUUUUUUAACUAUUGUUGAUAAUAUGAAGAGUGUGUAAGAACAUUAGGGCUACUACAAGAAAUGCCAACAAACAUUCAUUGAUUUGUUUUUGUUAAUUGUUAUAGCAUUCUACCUGUUUUUAUUCCCAUUACUGAAUUGUAAAUUGUAUUUCUUCUUGAAUCGAUGGUCUUCACACACAUCUCUUCCCCCCUGAUCCUAUUGGAAACUGGACAAGGAUCAUAAGACUUGAUUGGCAAGGAAGAUCGAUGGAGGGACCUACUCCUUCUACAAGAUCUUUGUUGACAAACUUACAAGAAUUCUGAUUCCAUUUUCUGUCAAAAAAUUUAACUAAUUUUUCAUCCACCAAUGAAACUUACUUUAAUUUUGCAUUUUGGUUUUCAGGAGGAUAACUGAUUUGACUGGACCAAGUACAACCUUUCCCAAUCUGCAAAACCAGACACGGGUGGCAUUUGAGAAAUUGCUUGCUUAAAAGUUCAAUACCUUAGUACACAGUACAGAUGAGUGGAAUGAAAAAACUGUUAAAAAACAAAUAUUAAGUCUAUCAAGUCAAAAAGAAGCAUGCACUUAAUCAUGGAAGUUAUAUGUAGAUAUUUCUUUCAGGCUGCUGCCAAGAUUAUGAUGAAAAAGAAAAAGGGGACAACUAUGGCUUCAUUGAUGCAUAUGCAGAAAAUUCUAUCAAAUAGAGUGCAACAUUUUCCAACUCUUAAGAAAGCUGUAAAAUCAGCUUUUUGACUUCACUUAUUUCAUAUAUAUGCCCUUUAAGAAACAUCGAUUCUGCUCAAAUAUCAAUUCCCAGGACUGUAAAGUACGAUGACUCACAGCAGUGCUAUCGACACAGAGCACGAUUGGAGGAAACAAAGCAAUAUUGAAGAGGAUGGAGGUGACGCCUGGAUUUGGGAAUCGAUUUCAAGCUACUCCAAAGACUAGCACCACCAUCCAGAUUCACAAAGUUUAUGGAAGCUCUUAUCGUUUGCCUUCUGCUCAUACAUGGCACUGCCAAAUCCUUCAUGAACUGUGAAAAAUAUGGAGAUUCUAAGAAGCUCUGCUUCAACUUUUUCCAAUGUUUUGGCUUUUGUAGCUGCAUAGUUUCCAAUGUUUUGGCUUUUGUUUGGCAGCUUGGAAAAACUUGUAGCACCUGAUCGUCCAUGCCACUCUUGUUACAGGACAUGAGUAUGGACACAUCAUGGAACAUUUUAGGGUAGUUGUUGGUCUUCCUCUUGGUGAUCCAUCAAUUAAGUGGCCAACUUGCAUCAUGUAAUAACAUUUUAGGCAAAUAUGUAGGUAUAUGUUUUUUUUAAUGAAUAAUGUAAUCAUAUGUAUGAAUAUGAAAUAAAGUUUGUUAUUUAGUAAGUGAUAAUCAUGUAUAGGGAGAAAACAACUUCUAUUGAUUUGUUUUAUCUUUCCAUGGAUCGACUAUUUGUAUGACAUUA
Molecule: non-coding RNA, 2745 nt
Organism: Lactuca sativa (garden lettuce)
Lineage: Eukaryota; Viridiplantae; Streptophyta; Magnoliopsida; Asterales; Asteraceae
Source: RefSeq, a predicted model, not a curated record